This 753-nucleotide ribosomal RNA is filed under the name uncultured bacterium. Its description in RNAcentral is "bacterial SSU rRNA". It matches the Rfam family "Bacterial small subunit ribosomal RNA", at positions 28 to 801 of the family's 1533-position model. The record is from RNAcentral.
GAUGAACUCUGGCGGCGCGCCUAACACAUGCAAGUCGAACGGCACCUAUCUUCGGAUAGAAGCGAGUGGCGAACGGCUGAGUAACACGUGGAGAACCUGCCCCCUCCCCCGGGAUAGCCGCCCGAAAGGACGGGUAAUACCGGAUACCCCGGGGUGCCGCAUGGCACCCCGGCUAAAGCCCCGACGGGAGGGGAUGGCUCCGCGGCCCAUCAGGUAGACGGCGGGGUGACGGCCCACCGUGCCGACAACGGGUAGCCGGGUUGAGAGACCGACCGGCCAGAUUGGGACUGAGACACGGCCCAGACUCCUACGGGAGGCAGCAGUGGGGAAUCUUGCGCAAUGGGGGGAACCCUGACGCAGCGACGCCGCGUGCGGGACGGAGGCCUUCGGGUCGUAAACCGCUUUCAGCAGGGAAGAGUCAAGACUGUACCUGCAGAAGAAGCCCCGGCUAACUACGUGCCAGCAGCCGCGGUAAUACGUAGGGGGCGAGCGUUAUCCGGAUUCAUUGGGCGUAAAGCGCGCGUAGGCGGCCCGGCAGGCCGGGGGUCGAAGCGGGGGGCUCAACCCCCCGAAGCCCCCGGAACCUCCGCGGCUUGGGUCCGGUAGGGGAGGGUGGAACACCCGGUGUAGCGGUGGAAUGCGCAGAUAUCGAGUGGAACACCGGUGGCGAAGGCGGCCCUCUGGGCCGAGACCGACGCUGAGGCGCGAAAGCUGGGGGAGCGAACAGGAUUAGAUACCCUGGUAGUCCCAGCC